Non-coding RNA from Oryza meridionalis, 208 nucleotides. Lineage: Eukaryota; Viridiplantae; Streptophyta; Magnoliopsida; Poales; Poaceae. The record is from Rfam.
AAUAAGUACAGUUUUGCACUAUUCAUCUUCUAACACUUAACCGUUCAUCUUAUUUGAAAAAUUUCUAUGAUUACUAUUUUUAUUGUUAUAGAUGAUAAAACAUGAAUAGUACUUUAUGUAUGACUAUUUUUUAAAAAAAAAUCAUAAAUUUUUUCAAAAAAGACGGACGGUCAAACGUUGGACACGGAGUUUCACGGCUGCACUUAUU